ACUCCUACGGGAGGCAGCAGUAGGGAAUAUUGGUCAAUGGGCGAAAGCCUGAACCAGCCAUGCCGCGUGUCAGAUGAAGGUCCUCUGGAUUGUAAAUGACUUUUCUACGGGAAGAAUGAGCCGUCUGCGGACGGAAGUUGACGGUACCGUAGGAAUAAGCACCGGCUAACUACGUGCCAGCAGCCGCGGUAAUACGUAGGGGUGCAAGCGUUGUCCGGAUUUACUGGGUUUAAAGGGUACGUAGGCGGUUGUGCCAAGUCUGGGGUGAAAGUUUGCAGCUCAACUGUAAAAUUGCCUUGGAUACUGGUCGGCUAGAGUAGUGGAGCGGUGGCUGGAAUUUAUAGUGUAGCGGUGAAAUGCUUAGAUACUAUGAGGAACACCAAUUGCGAAGGCAGGUCACUGGUCACUAACUGACGCUGAGGUACGAAAGUGUGGGGAUCAAACAGGAUUAGAUACCCUGGUAGGAUACCG
RNAcentral lists this ribosomal RNA (471 nucleotides) under uncultured bacterium. RNAcentral describes it as "bacterial SSU rRNA". It matches the Rfam family "Bacterial small subunit ribosomal RNA", at positions 335 to 802 of the family's 1533-position model. The record is from RNAcentral.